ACGGAAGGCAGCAGUAGGGAAUAUUGCACAAUGGGGGAAACCCUGAUGCAGCAAUGUCACGUGUGGGAAGAAGCAUUUCGGUGUGUAAACCACUGUCGUGAGGGAAUAAUGUUGCGUUUCGGCUCAAUUGAAUUUACCUCGAAAGGAAGCACCGGCAAACUUCGUGCCAGCAGCCGCGGUAAUACGAGGGGUGCAAUCGUUGUUCGGAAUCACUGGGCGUAAAGGGAGCGUAGGCGGAGGAGCAAGCAGUCUGUACAAUCCCGGGGCCUAACCCCGGCUCUGCAGACUGGACUGUUUCUCUUGGAUAGUUCAGGGGCAGGCGGAAUUCCUGGUGUAGCGGUGGAAUGCGUAGAGAUCAGGAAGAACACCGAUGGCGAAGGCAGCCUGCUGGGGACUUAUCGACGCUGAGGCUCGAAAGUGCGGGUAGCAAACAGGAUUAGAUACCCUGGUA
This 451-nucleotide ribosomal RNA is filed under the name uncultured Fibrobacter sp. Its description in RNAcentral is "bacterial SSU rRNA". It matches the Rfam family "Bacterial small subunit ribosomal RNA", at positions 341 to 792 of the family's 1533-position model. Lineage: Bacteria; Pseudomonadati; Fibrobacterota; Fibrobacteria; Fibrobacterales; Fibrobacteraceae. The record is from RNAcentral.